ACUCCUACGGAGGCAGGCAGAGGUGGGGAAUAUUGCACAAUGGGCGCAAGCCUGAUGCAGCCAUGCCGUGUGUGUGAAGAAGGCCUUCGGGUUGUAAAGCACUUUCAGCGAGGAGGAAGGUGGUGAGCUUAAUACGCUCAUCAAUUGACGUUACUCGCAGAAGAAGCACCGGCUAACUCCGUGCCAGCAGCCGCGGUAAU
RNAcentral lists this ribosomal RNA (200 nucleotides) under uncultured Serratia sp. RNAcentral describes it as "partial 16S ribosomal RNA". It matches the Rfam family "Bacterial small subunit ribosomal RNA", at positions 335 to 524 of the family's 1533-position model. The record is from RNAcentral. Lineage: Bacteria; Pseudomonadati; Pseudomonadota; Gammaproteobacteria; Enterobacterales; Yersiniaceae.